RNAcentral lists this ribosomal RNA (324 nucleotides) under uncultured Pseudomonas sp. Its description in RNAcentral is "bacterial SSU rRNA". It matches the Rfam family "Bacterial small subunit ribosomal RNA", at positions 1057 to 1382 of the family's 1533-position model. Lineage: Bacteria; Pseudomonadati; Pseudomonadota; Gammaproteobacteria; Pseudomonadales; Pseudomonadaceae. The record is from RNAcentral.
AGCUCGUGUCGUGAGAUGUUGGGUUAAGUCCGUUACGAGCGCAACCCUUGUCCUUAGUUACCAGCACGUUAUGGUGGGCACUCUAAGGAGACUGCCGGUGACAACCGGAGGAAGGUGGGGAUGACGUCAAGUCAUCAUGGCCCUUACGGCCUGGGCUACACACGUGCUACAAUGGUCGGUACAAAGGGUUGCCAAGCCGCGAGGUGGAGCUAAUCCCAUAAAACCGAUCGUAGUCCGGAUCGCAGUCUGCAACUCGACUGCGUGAAGUCGGAAUCGCUAGUAAUCGUGAAUCAGAAUGUCACGGUGAAUACGUUCCCGGGCCUU